RNAcentral lists this ribosomal RNA (428 nucleotides) under uncultured bacterium. RNAcentral describes it as "bacterial SSU rRNA". It matches the Rfam family "Bacterial small subunit ribosomal RNA", at positions 355 to 775 of the family's 1533-position model. The record is from RNAcentral.
UGAGGAAUUUUGCGCAAUGGCCGCAAGGCUGACGCAGCAACGCCGCGUGGGUGAUGAAGGCCUUCGGGUCGUAAAGCCCUGUCAGGUGGGAAGAAAGGCCUGGAGAGGAGAGGUUUCAGGUUUGACGGUGCCACCAGAGGAAGCACCGGCUAACUCCGUGCCAGCAGCCGCGGUAAUACGGAGGGUGCGAGCGUUAUUCGGAAUUACUGGGCGUAAAGCGCGUGUAGGCGGGGGGACAAGUCUGAUGUGAAAGCCCUGGGCUUAACCUGGGAAGUGCAUUGGAAACUGUUUUUCUUGAGUACUGGAGAGGAAGGGGGAAUUCCCGGUGUAGAGGUGAAAUUCGUAGAGAUCGGGAGGAAUACCAGUGGCGUAGGCGCCCUUCUGGACGGUAACUGUCGCUGAGACGCGAAAGCGUGGGGAGCAAACAG